RNAcentral lists this ribosomal RNA (303 nucleotides) under uncultured bacterium. Its description in RNAcentral is "partial 16S ribosomal RNA". It matches the Rfam family "Bacterial small subunit ribosomal RNA", at positions 507 to 807 of the family's 1533-position model. The record is from RNAcentral.
AGCAGUCGCCGCGGGAAUACGUAGGGUGCGAGCGUUAAUCGGAAUUACUGGGCGUAAAGCGUGCGCAGGCGGUUAUAUAAGUCAGACGUGAAAUCCCCGGGCUCAACCUGGGAACUGCAUUUGAGGCUGUAUGGCUAGAGUGUGUCGGAGGGGGGUAGAAUUCCACGUGUAGCAGUGAAAUGCGUAGAUAUGUGGAGGAAUACCGAUGGCGAAGGCAGCCCCCUGUGAUAACACUGACGCUCAUGCACGAAAGCGUGGGGAGCAAACAGGAUUAGAUACCCCGGUAGUCCCUGUCUCUUAUAC